GACGAACGCUGGCGGCGUGCUUAACACAUGCAAGUCGAACGGAAAGGCCCUGCUUUUGUGGGGUGCUCGAGUGGCGAACGGGUGAGUAACACGUGAGUAACCUGCCCUUGACUUUGGGAUAACUUCAGGAAACUGGGGCUAAUACCGGAUAGGAGCUCCUGCUGCAUGGUGGGGGUUGGAAAGUUUCGGCGGUUGGGGAUGGACUCGCGGCUUAUCAGCUUGUUGGUGGGGUAGUGGCUUACCAAGGCUUUGACGGGUAGCCGGCCUGAGAGGGUGACCGGCCACAUUGGGACUGAGAUACGGCCCAGACUCCUACGGGAGGCAGCAGUGGGGAAUAUUGCACAAUGGGCGGAAGCCUGAUGCAGCAACGCCGCGUGCGGGAUGACGGCCUUCGGGUUGUAAACCGCUUUCGCCUGUGACGAAGCGUGAGUGACGGUAAUGGGUAAAGAAGCACCGGCUAACUACGUGCCAGCAGCCGCGGUGAUACGUAGGGUGCGAGCGUUGUCCGGAUUUAUUGGGCGUAAAGGGCUCGUAGGUGGUUGAUCGCGUCGGAAGUGUAAUCUUGGGGCUUAACCCUGAGCGUGCUUUCGAUACGGGUUGACUUGAGGAAGGUAGGGGAGAAUGGAAUUCCUGGUGGAGCGGUGGAAUGCGCAGAUAUCAGGAGGAACACCAGUGGCGAAGGCGGUUCUCUGGGCCUUUCCUGACGCUGAGGAGCGAAAGCGUGGGGAGCGAACAGGCUUAGAUACCCUGGUAGUCCACGCUGUAAACGGUGGGUACUAGGUGUGGGGUCCAUUCCACGGGUUCCGUGCCGUAGCUAACGCUUUAAGUACCCCGCCUGGGGAGUACGGCCGCAAGGCUAAAACUCAAAGGAAUUGACGGGGCCCCGCACAAGCGGCGGAGCAUGCGGAUUAAUUCGAUGCAACGCGUAGAACCUUACCUGGGUUUGACAUGGAUCGGGAGUGCUCAGAGAUGGGUGUGCCUCUUUUGGGGUCGGUUCACAGGUGGUGCAUGGCUGUCGUCAGCUCGUGUCGUGAGAUGUUGGGUUAAGUCCCGCAACGAGCGCAACCCUUGUUCACUGUUGCCAGCACGUUAUGGUGGGGACUCAGUGGAGACCGCCGGGGUCAACUCGGAGGAAGGUGGGGAUGACGUCAAGUCAUCAUGCCCCUUAUGUCCAGGGCUUCACGCAUGCUACAAUGGCUGGUACAGAGAGUGGCGAGCCUGUGAGGGUGAGCGAAUCUCGGGAAGCCGGUCUCAGUUCGGAUUGGGGUCUGCAACUCGACCUCAUGAAGUCGGAGCCGCUAGUAAUCGCAGAUCAGCAACGCUGCGGUGAAUACGUUCCCGGG
This 1343-nucleotide ribosomal RNA is filed under the name uncultured bacterium. RNAcentral's name for it is "16S ribosomal RNA". It matches the Rfam family "Bacterial small subunit ribosomal RNA", at positions 28 to 1378 of the family's 1533-position model. The record is from RNAcentral.